AUGGCGAAAUGCUGGCUGCUGCUCCACUUCUUGGCGUUCCUCUUGCCGCCGGCGAGCGCUACGACGUGCCACGCCGAUGACCUCCGCGCGUUGCGGGGCUUCGCCGGGAACCUCAGUGGUGGUGGCGUGCUCCUACGCGCCAUGUGGUCUGGCGCCUCGUGCUGCGGCUGGGAAGGUGUCGGCUGUGAUGGCCAAAGUGGACGCGUCAUGGCGCUGUUGCUCCCCGGGCGUGGACUUGCGGGGCCCAUCGCAGGAGCAUCUUUGGCGGGCCUCGUGCAGCUGGAGGAGCUCAACCUAUCCAAUAACAAACUGAUCGGCACCGUCCCAUCGUGGAUUGGUGAGCUUGAUCACCUUUGCUAUUUGGAUCUCUCCGAUAAUUUAUUGGUUGGCAAGGUACCCAAAAAUUUGAUAAAUCUCAAGGGCCUCGCCACCACUGGUCGUUUAAUGGGUAUGGCUUUCACUAGCAUGCCAUUGCAUGUGAUGCGUAACAGAAGAAUACUCCAACAACAACGACCAAAUAUCAUUUCUGGGACCAACAACAAAGUCCGGUCUGGUAGAACCAAUGUUCUAUCCGGGAAUGACAACACUGUCAUAUUUGGAAACAGCAACACUGUCGCUGGGAGCAACAAUACCAUCACAACUGGGAGCGACAAUACCGUAACGGGUAGCAACCAUAUCGUAUCUGGGAGCAAACAUAUCGUAACUGACAACAACGAUGUUGUUUCCGGGAUUGACAAUAAUGUAUCCGGGAGCUUCCACACCGUAUCCGGGAGUCACAAUACUGUAUCCGGGAGCAACAAUACUGUAUCUGGAAGCAACCAUGUUGUGUCUGGGAGCAACAAAGUCGUGACAGGAGGUUAA
Molecule: ribosomal RNA, 861 nt
Filed under: Triticum aestivum (bread wheat)
Lineage: Eukaryota; Viridiplantae; Streptophyta; Magnoliopsida; Poales; Poaceae
Description: partial small subunit ribosomal RNA
Source: RNAcentral